Molecule: ribosomal RNA, 253 nt
Filed under: uncultured bacterium
Lineage: Bacteria
Description: partial 16S ribosomal RNA
Rfam family: Bacterial small subunit ribosomal RNA
Source: RNAcentral
UACGUAGGGGGCUAGCGUUGUCCGGAUUUAUUGGGCGUAAAGAGCGUGUAGGCGGCCAGGUAGGUCUGGUGUGAAAACUCGAGGCUUAACCUCGAGAUGUCAUCGGAAACCAUCUGGCUAGAGUCCGGAAGAGGAGAGUGGAAUUCCUGGUGUAGCGGUGAAAUGCGCAGAUAUCAGGAAGAACACCAAUGGCGAAAGCAAUCCCCUGGGCCUGCACUGACGCUCAUGCACGAAAGCGUGGGGAGCAAACAGG